Molecule: long non-coding RNA, 354 nt
Filed under: Mytilus galloprovincialis (Mediterranean mussel)
Lineage: Eukaryota; Metazoa; Mollusca; Bivalvia; Mytilida; Mytilidae
Source: RNAcentral
UCUUUAUCCUGUUAUAUUUAGACUACCAGUAUGGGAGGCUUACAUUAAACGUCUUAGAGCAUAGAAGCAAAAAAAAAACCUCAUAUACAGCAACCCUCCAAAGAGAACAACCAACCAUAAACAUGAAUGGAAAACCUCCAAACAAAAAAAAAACAAAAAACAAAAAAAACAUGAACGAAUAACAUUUUAUUCAGCAACAUUCAAAGAACAACCCAAUCAGGUUAUGAUAACCUCCCAUACAGCAACCCUUCAGAUAGAUCAACCAACGAAAAACAUGAAUUGAAAUCCCCCAAACAGACGAACCAACCAAAACAUGACUGGAUAACCUUUCAUUUAACAACAUUCAAAGAACAG